This 762-nucleotide long non-coding RNA is filed under the name Cyanistes caeruleus (blue tit). RNAcentral's name for it is "lncRNA (ENSCCEG00000000947.1)". The record is from RNAcentral. Lineage: Eukaryota; Metazoa; Chordata; Aves; Passeriformes; Paridae.
UUAAUGGAAUAAAAAUCCAAGACUGAAGAUCUCAACUAGGAAUCCCUGGAGAAAUACAAGGAUACAAUUUUAUGCUGGGUCUGCCCUGCCUAUCUCACAGAAGCUUUCUUCAAAUAGCCUUUGCUCUUCAGGGUGUUUUGACCUUGAACUGCUUUGGGUACAACAAGAAAAAGCAGCUGGAAAAGGAGGCAAAAGGCAGGCAGAGAAACGUCUGCUGUGAGCUCCCUCAAGCAGCCUGGGCUGCCCAAAAUGAAGGAAAGCCUUCACCUGCCCAUGAGGAAAGAAGGCAAAAAUACAUGGUCUUUGACAGAACUAAAAGCUUGAUUGUUGCCAGAAGCUUUGCAUCACUUGCUGAUUGACAUUAUUUCUGCUGUUUGCCCAUGGACUUUAGCUCCAGGACUUCUCUCUAACUCAGAGACAACAGCUCCCAAGCAGAUGCAUCAACUUUUGCAACAUUCACCUCUGCUGCAGGCACAGGCAGUCCAGGAGAGGACUGGCAAGACACUCAGCCCCUGCUUCUGGGCAAAAAAAGGGGUCAGCAAGAAACAUCUAAGUCAGGCAGGGGUCAGGAGGGCCUGCUGCUUGACAGCUCCAGCCUGGGGAGGCAUCUCAGAUCCUCAUCCACAGCCCAGCCACGAGCCUGCACUGAGAGAGCUGCCUGGGAGAGCCUCAGCAGCAGCAGCCACUGGGAACACUGCUGAGGCUCACGGAGUAAGCCAAGAACCUGAGGCAGCUGCAGCAGAGGUUCGCAGCCCGGGGUGA